CCCAGAAGCAAAUAGAUUCAUCUGCACUUAUCGAAGCAAGCAUUGUUUCGUCCUUAU
Molecule: non-coding RNA, 57 nt
Filed under: Plasmodium falciparum 3D7
Lineage: Eukaryota; Apicomplexa; Aconoidasida; Haemosporida; Plasmodiidae
Source: RNAcentral